Molecule: ribosomal RNA, 724 nt
Filed under: Bacillus velezensis
Lineage: Bacteria; Bacillati; Bacillota; Bacilli; Caryophanales; Bacillaceae
Description: bacterial SSU rRNA
Rfam family: Bacterial small subunit ribosomal RNA
Source: RNAcentral
UGCAAGUCGAGCGGACAGAUGGGAGCUUGCUCCCUGAUGUUAGCGGCGGACGGGUGAGUAACACGUGGGUAACCUGCCUGUAAGACUGGGAUAACUCCGGGAAACCGGGGCUAAUACCGGAUGGUUGUCUGAACCGCAUGGUUCAGACAUAAAAGGUGGCUUCGGCUACCACUUACAGAUGGACCCGCGGCGCAUUAGCUAGUUGGUGAGGUAACGGCUCACCAAGGCGACGAUGCGUAGCCGACCUGAGAGGGUGAUCGGCCACACUGGGACUGAGACACGGCCCAGACUCCUACGGGAGGCAGCAGUAGGGAAUCUUCCGCAAUGGACGAAAGUCUGACGGAGCAACGCCGCGUGAGUGAUGAAGGUUUUCGGAUCGUAAAGCUCUGUUGUUAGGGAAGAACAAGUGCCGUUCAAAUAGGGCGGCACCUUGACGGUACCUAACCAGAAAGCCACGGCUAACUACGUGCCAGCAGCCGCGGUAAUACGUAGGUGGCAAGCGUUGUCCGGAAUUAUUGGGCGUAAAGGGCUCGCAGGCGGUUUCUUAAGUCUGAUGUGAAAGCCCCCGGCUCAACCGGGGAGGGUCAUUGGAAACUGGGGAACUUGAGUGCAGAAGAGGAGAGUGGAAUUCCACGUGUAGCGGUGAAAUGCGUAGAGAUGUGGAGGAACACCAGUGGCGAAGGCGACUCUCUGGUCUGUAACUGACGCUGAGGAGCGAAAGCGU